GCCAAUAAGACUGGAACAGAAUUGCACACUUGAAAAUGAUUGAAUCCAGAAGACAGGCAAAUGGAAAUGACGUACAAUAGUUUUUGUUUCGCUCGUUUUGCGCUGGACGAGCAUAAAAACAAAAAAAAAAGGAAAGAAUGAAAAUGGGUUGUACUGAUGGGGUCAUACAACGGCAGACAGAUUGGGUAUACGCGGACACGAGUACUAUAUACCACGACGACCACCACCAACGGGAAUGCGGCCAUGUUGAUGCCUAAAAUUAGCCGGACGACGGCUGAUUGGCACGGACCAGAAGAACCGACGGAAUAGAACAAAAACAUACACUGUACACUGCGCUAUACUCCCCGCGCCCGUGUGUGUGUGUGUGUGUGUACGUACUAUACAGUCGUGGCCCUAUCGAAAAUUCAAGCACAUCAAAAUGUCAAGUGCUUUCCUUUUUUCCUGUUGUUGACCUCGAUCCAACAACGUUACGUACACCAUCGGCAACAACAUUCCCGAGUGGCACGGAUAGUUGGGGGGCUAAGAUUCUUUUUCUUUCGAUUUUCGGGUAUGACCUCAUCAGCGGAAUUUCAUCAUUACAAAAAAAACGCAGUGUGGAGUAGGAGUCAUUCGUACGUGGAGGUAGUGUUUUUCUUAGAAAACAGAAUCCAAGCAGAAAAAAAAAAAAAGUUUGAAGAGUUUUGAAAACUCGAAAAAAAUAAAAGUUGCGCAAUGGUACGGUGGCGCAUUGAAAUCCGGUGGCCGGCCAGCCGACGCCGCUCCUCCCUUCCGUUUUCUCUCUCCCCUCUCUGCCUUUGUAUGUGGUGUGUGUACGUCGUGGGGGGAAGAAGGUUAGGAGAAGGUGGGGGGGAUAUGGAGGUUGGGAACUUACACACGCAGACACACACACACACGGGAGUGAAAAGGAGGAAAAAGAAUCGGAACAGUCCGGAAAGCGGAUCAGUCGACGUGCUUACGUCUUUGACGUUGCAGCCCUUCGUUUUUUUGUGUGUACAUGUGCGUUGUUGUAUUGUAGUAGUGUGUGAAAGAGCACGGUCCCGGAUGUUACAUGGUGUGUAUAUGUGUUGUGUGUGUGUGUCGGUGCGUGUGAGUGUGACUGGACAUUUGAUUCGCCAUCCGUCGGGCCGAUUGAAUUAAAAAAAAAAAAAAAAACUAAGAAAAACUAAGACAAAUGGACGGCUAAAUUAUUUAUCGAGAAAAGCCGAUCCAUCGGAUUUGCUUUGGUUUCGGGUUACUCUAAACCGAAAGAAUUUGUGGUGUUGAAGAAAAGAAAGAAUUGCGAAUUGCUUUUCGUUUUCCAUCCCGUGUCGUCUCCAUCCGUCCGCACAGUUUCCGCUCCGAGUUUAUUUGUUCGUUUUUCCCUUUUGUUUUUGUUUUUUUGUUUGUUAGUUUUGAGGGGGGACCCAAGUGAAGGAGCUACACCAAAGGGGGGUUGUGUUUUCCUUGCCGUCUCCACACGGUUCACUACUUGAGAAGAAAAAAGAAAAAGAAUAAAAAAGGAAAAUCUGCUCAAGAAUUUCCAGGGAACCUGGAGCGCACACACACAGACAACAUCCAUUCGAUAACGACCGCAAUGUCAUAAGGAACCGCUGCGCCAGUGUGCCUCUCUCUCAUACACACACACACACACACACAUCUAAGGUGUGUUUUUAUCUGUUGGUCUUUGGUGUGUCUGUGUGUGCCUGUGUGUGUGUGUGUGUGCGUGCGUGCCGUGCCGUGAAGAAGCUGCCCGAGACUCUUGUUUGCUAGUUCUCUCCCGUUCUCUCUGAACCUCCUUGUGUGGUUACGGACGCGUGUUCCGGUCGGAAUGAAGGAAAUAAAGAAGGAAUAGAUCAACGAUUAAAAGGGGGGGAAAAAAAAAGAGGAAAGAUAGACAGGAAAGAUAAGAAGAAGUUGGCCAAAAGUUUUGUCUUCGAUGAACGACAGUCGAUGUGAUGGAUCGUCGGGUUGGAGAUGAAGUAGACGAAGGGGUAGGGCGAGGCGAGCUAGACAAAUCGCCCGUCAUCACGACCAAGAAUCGGCCAUCAUCACCGACAUCAUUAUUGCCACCGCUGCAGAGGCGGCCAUCGACACCAACGACGCCGAUCGCAUGCCCGGCUCACGAUCCUCUCGCCGCCUGUCCUGUCGUCGACGACAUGGUCCACCAGUCGACGACGGACAAUCAAGUGGAACAUCAACAACAGCAAAGAGAAGCGACGAGGACGCCCUUACCGUCGACACCCAGCGUCUUAGUCGAGUGCAGUCCCACAACUCCUCCUCCUGCCGACGAAGACGAUGUCGUCUACUACUCCGGCUAUCACUCGGAGGAGGUCGAUGAAGAUUUGGAGGAUUUAGAAGAAGAACAAGAAGAGGAUGACGAUGAUGAAGUGGUAGAAGAAGAAGAAGAAGAAGAAGAAGAAGAAGAAGACGAAGAAGAAGAAGAAGACCAAGUCGAUGGUCACGAUGAAGAGGAAGAUGAUGAUGGUUUACCGUACCCGGGUUUCAUACCCGUCACGCUCGGCUUCAUGACUCAAUACAGCCAGCCAAGAAACCUAUGUUUACGGAUGAUCACCAAUCCGUGGUUCGAGAGGAUCAGCAUGGCCGUCAUCUUUUUCAACUGCGUCACGUUGGGCAUGUACCAGCCCUGUAUCGACCAGGUCUGCAACACCAAUCGAUGCCGCAUCCUCCAGAUGCUGGAUGAUUUCAUAUUUGCCUUCUUCGCCCUGGAGAUGUCCAUCAAAAUGAUCGCCAUGGGUGUUUACGGUAAAGGAACUUACCUGGCCGAAACGUGGAACAGGCUCGAUUGUUUUAUCGUCAUCGCCGGAGCGGUGGAAUAUUGCUUGGAUAUGGAGAACAUGAAUUUAUCCGCCAUCCGGACCAUCCGAGUUUUGCGGCCACUAAGAGCUAUCAACCGAAUACCCAGCAUGAGGAUAUUGGUGAUGCUGUUACUGGAUACAUUACCCAUGCUUGGCAAUGUUCUGUUGCUCUGCUUUUUCGUCUUUUUCAUCUUCGGCAUCGUCGGUGUCCAGCUCUGGGCUGGUAUUCUUCGUCAGAGGUGCUACCUUGAUCUACCGAAGGGCAUUGUCCCACCAGCCACAUUCACGACCAUCGACCGAACUCUGCCCAUCUUUUACAAACCCAAGACCCACUACAGGCCUCUGUCCAGCUAUUAUAAAGUGCAAGAGACGGAGAAGGACUACAUUUGUUCCCUGGCCAAAGACAGUGGGAUGCAUACAUGCGCCUCGCUGCCUCACACCAAAUCUGACGGGCGAGUGUGCAAUGACAGCGUCGUGCCUGGCAUACCCGUUGGAAUGGACGGUCUCUCAGUCAACGGCUCUUGUAUCAAUUGGAAUCAAUACUACACCGAUUGUAGAGCUGGUGAAAAGAAUCCUUUCCAGGGAGCCAUAUCCUUUGAUAACAUCGGUUUGGCUUGGGUUGCCAUCUUUCUAGUCAUUAGUCUUGAAGGAUGGACCGACAUCAUGUACUACGUCCAGGAUGCCCACUCUUUCUGGGACUGGGUUUACUUUGUCCUCCUUAUUGUGAUCGGCUCGUUCUUCAUGAUCAACCUGUGCCUGGUGGUAAUAGCCACGCAGUUCUCCGAGACGAAGAAGCGGGAAAUGGAGCGGAUGCGUCUGGAACGGGCGCGCUACCAAUCGACGUCCACAUUGGCCAGCACGUCGGCCAGCGAGUCAACUUCAUGCUACCGGCAGAUCAUCAAGUACAUUGCACAUUUGUGGCGGAGGAGCAAGCGACGUAUACUCAGACGAUACAGAGCCUACCGCAGCCGGAAGAAGCUGCAGCAACAGCAACAACAGCUGGAUCACCCACAAUACGGCAAACAACAAUCAGCGACGCAUUCGCUCAGUUUAAGGACGCGGAGGAAACAGCAACGGCGCAGGAAGAGGAGGAGGAGGCGGAGCAGGCAUCCGCAUCCUGAAUGCCCUAAACAUGGCGCCCAACAACAAGAGCAACAACAACAACAUCAACAUCAAUUGCAGAGAAAUAGCCAAUGUUCUAGCAGCUAUCGAGUACCGUCCGUAAGUUCACAGGUAGCGUUGAGAAUCAAUGAUGGGCCGGCUUCGCCUCUCGAUUCGCCCGUCCCCAUACUCUCAAAUGCUCGGCGCGCCAGCGUUGCCGUCUCCAUCGACCAUCACCAUCAGCGAUCCUCUCCAUUCCUCUCGCCCAGAGGAUCUUUGGCAAUGGCCGAUGAUUCGUCAGAUUCGUCGCAGUUGUUGACGCCAAGGACGCCUAGGCGUCGCCGAAGUAGUGUUAUGUUUAGUGACGUUGUCGUCGCUCACGGCAUGAGUAACAGUGUGGCCGAUGUCAAUGUCUGCUGGAGCGAGAAGAUCACCCAGACGGGCGGUUUCACUACGGAAUCGGUUGCAUCCGCCGGAAGUGAAUCUCGUCAGCCACAUCAUCAGACAUCUGGUUCGUCUAAUCCGUCGUCACCGCUGUCGUUCAAUCGCAAAUCGUCAUUGAGGCAACGAGUCACAUCCAACCAGACGACCGACGAACUACGGCCCAGUUGUUCAGCCCCGGGUCCAGGAUCCGGUACGACAUCUGGUAGCGUUGCAGCGACGUCCACCUUGACACAAGUCCCAAAUGGAGCUGGUCUAACCUGUCAAGAAUUGCUGGCUCUUAGUGGAGCCCUUGGGGCAGCGCUGCCCACUCCUUUAGCGUUGCCCAACUAUCCGUCGGAUGAGCCGAAAACUGCGGUAAUGGUUGUUGCUCCGGUCGCGGCCAAACAUAGCAACAACCAUAAAUGCAAUAACCAGUUAUUGGCACCGCCGGGCAUGAUGCCCAUCUUACCAACUCUGGCCAUGUCUCUUUGGCCGGAACCGUUUCAAGACCCUGGACGUAGCGGCGACGAUCAUUGGACAACGAUCCCGUGCGUGAACAACAGGAAGCCGGCAGAGACGGCAGAGACGGCAGUUGACGUGGAGACGGACAAUGAAGACGAUAGGAAUUGCAUUUGCUGCUCAUCGGACGACGAGGAAUAUUCAGCGUCCGAUGAAGAGGCCGGUUCGGAAGAUCAAAACGAAGACUAUUACGAAGAAGAUGAAGAACAACGAGGAGCAUCCGUCGAAGUGUUUGAGCAUCGUCGUUCGCCCUUGUCUCGCUAUUGGUCGCUCGUCAAGGAAUAUUAUAAAACGUUCCAGCGGAGUGUCAAAGCCCUCGUCGAGCACAAGUACUUCCAGCAGGGACUUUUGGGAGCCAUUCUCAUCAAUACGCUCAGCAUGGGCAUCGAAUAUCACAACCAGCCAGAAGAACUGACGCUGACAGUCGAAUUUAGCAACAUCGUUUUCUCAGCCAUUUUCGCCAUUGAGAUGCUGCUCAAAGUGAUCGCCGAAGGUCCGCUCAACUACAUCGGCAACGGUUUCAACGUCUUUGACGGUGUUAUCGUCAUUCUCAGUUUGGUGGAAGUGUUUCAGAGCUUGAAUCGCUUCGAAGGGGAUGACGGUGGCAGUUCGGGCCUUUCGGUUUUGAGGACGUUUCGUCUUUUGCGCAUCUUGAAAUUAGUCCGUUUCAUGCCAAACUUGCGUCGUCAAUUGAUCGUCAUGUUGCGCACAAUGGACAAUGUGGCCGUCUUCUUCGCCUUGCUCCUGCUCUUCAUUUUCAUAUUCAGCAUUUUGGGCAUGAAUUUGUUCGGCUGCAAAUUUUGUCGCAAAACCAGCGACCAGUCGACGAGUUGCGACCGUAAAAACUUCGACUCCCUCCUGUGGGCCAUAGUGACCGUGUUUCAGAUUUUGACCCAAGAAGAUUGGAAUGUUGUUCUAUUCAAUGGCAUGGAGAAGACAAGCCAUUGGGCAGCGCUUUAUUUCGUGGCGCUCAUGACAUUUGGCAACUAUGUCCUGUUCAAUCUCCUAGUCGCCAUUCUCGUCGAAGGCUUCUCCGCUGAGAGAACGGAGCGACUGGAACGUGAACAGCGUGAGCAGGCCAGACAGGAACGCCAUGCAGCAAGAGCUCUUGCCACGGCUGCGGCUUUGUCAAUCCAAGAUGAGGCAACAUCGGGUGGCUCUUGUCACGGGGAUCAGGAGACGGGUCCACCGGCACCUGAAAAUUGUUCGCCCGAUUCGCCGUCGUCUGCCGACGGUGUUGGGUGUCAUCAACAAGAGCUGCAGCACGACAACUAUUUCUCGAGAUCUUCGGUGACGGAGGAGAGUUGCAGUCCUGUCGGCUACUGUGCCAAUGACAUCGCGGUCGAAGACGUAUUGGUCUCCGUCGUCGAUAGCGCCCAGCUGGCCGACUUACUACUCGAGGAGGAACGCAAACAAGCCAAACUGGCACUAUUGGAGUCUCAACAACAGCGCCGACUCAAGGAGAAUUCGUACAAUGCCAUUCAGGAGCAACAGCGCCGUGAAUCUUUAUACAGUAAGAGUCAUCACGAUUGCGCUAACAAUCCCAACCAUUACGAUCCAAAGUCAAACAUCGAACGAGAAACGAUCCUGUUCUGUCAGCCGCAGUCAUCUGUUGUUCCUCGAUCGGAAUUUCAAACGCGGACGACAAAUGGAUCGGAUAGGAUGGAAACGCAUCCGAGCGCAACUGCGUCGCAGCAUUUAUUGCUUCCGCCAACGACAGCUCCGAUCAUCACCCACACAGCCGCCACUCCGCAAGGAUCUCCAAAUGCCACGCUCGAUUCCAUUUGCAGUCACAGGGAAAGCGCGCCGUGCGUCAGACUAUCUCCGUUGAAGUCGGUCAAGUUAGUAGGCGUGUCUCCGCCACGUCGUACUUCGGUAGAAGGUUCUCCUUUACACGGAGAUACUGGUAUCAAUUUGGGACUCGAGACGUUGGGUUCGCCGUCUUUACUGCGAACGCCGAGCAACAGAUCCUGCGCUAGCUCCAGAUCGUCUAGACGAUCGAGUUUGAAUCCCAUCAUGCCCAGUCGAGGUAUUCUCAGCAGAAAGAGCAGCCUGGCUGCCCCCUCAGGGGGAGGAAUGGUAUCAUCGCCGGAAGAGUCAGCCGAUACCAAUUCAUUGUUGCCUUUAUCGUCCUCGGAGAUGCUGGGCGGCGGAAGUGGCGUCCUUCGCCAGGGCAGCAAGAAAUUGUGGAGGCGGCUGUCAUCGCGGGAUACGGCUGGCAUCCCCACUAAUGGAUCGCAUGCCGAUCUGGAAGCUGAGCUGGAAGAGGACCACGCAUCCAACGCGGGCAAUUACAGCCUUCUAAACAACCUGAACAACCAACGACAACCGAGUUGCAGUAAUCAUGAUCGACUUGCCUGUAAUGGCAGCGCCCAACACGAUGGAAUUCACCAGCCAUUCACGCGGAAACCGAUUCUGUCUCAUCAGAAUUCUUUCGGCAGUCCGACAACAUUGAGUCCGCAGAAUUCUAUCCGCAGUAACGGCUCGUCGCCGCGGAGUCCAUCACCCGGAUUCAAUAACCUGGCGCCGAAUAACAACAACAACGGCAGUAAUUUGAAUUUCUCCAUCGGAGAAGGGCAAACGGGGGCCAACAGCACGACAACCAAAACAGAGGAGGAAGUGGUAGUGAAGAAACGGCUAAUUGUUCGCCUUUAUGAACGAUUCCCUCAACUCAAGAAGCGGGAAGACUACGCCCUCUUUAUUCUGUCGCCGGAAAAUUCCAUUCGGCGGUCAUGUAGUACGUUGGUGAGAAAGAGUUGGUUCGACCAUACAAUCCUGUUUUUCAUCGGAUUGAAUUGCGUCACGUUGGCCAUGGAACGGCCGCUCAUUCCACCCGAUUCGUUCGAGCGUGCCUUCCUCUCCGUGUCCAACUAUGUCUUCACUUUUGUCUUUGCCAUCGAAAUGAUUUUGAAAGUCAUGGCCGUCGGCAUGUUUUACGGCCCAAGUGCUUAUUUUGAUUCCGGAUGGAACAUCAUGGACGGUCUCCUCGUCAGCGUGUCCAUCGUUGAUAUUCUCAUGUCACUUUUGUCUAGCGGCAGUCCGCGCAUCUUUGGCAUACUCAGAGUCUUCCGGCUGCUGCGAUCCUUGAGGCCGUUGCGAGUCAUCAACCGAGCGCCCGGCUUGAAAUUGGUGGUGCAAACCUUACUAUCUUCUUUGAAACCCAUCGGAAACAUUGUGCUCAUUUGCUGCACUUUCUUCAUCAUCUUCGGAAUCCUCGGAGUCCAGUUAUUCAAAGGGAGUUUCUUCUACUGUGAGGGGCCCAACAUCCGUUCGGUCCGCAAUCGAACGGAUUGUUUGGCGGCGGAUCCUCGCAACAUGUGGGUCAAUCGCGCCUACAAUUUCGAUGACCUCGGACAGGCCCUAAUGGCCCUUUUCGUCCUUUCGUCCAAAGAUGGCUGGGUCAACAUUAUGUACACUGGGCUAGACGCCGUCGGUGUCGAUCAACAGCCGAUCGAGAAUUACAGCGAGUGGCGCUUAAUCUACUUCAUCUCGUUUCUGCUGUUGGUCGGUUUCUUCGUGCUCAACAUGUUCGUCGGUGUCGUCGUCGAGAAUUUCCAUCGUUGCCGUGAAGAACAGGAGAAGGAGGAGCGAGCUCGGCGGAUGGCGAAGCGGGCGCGCAAAAUGGAAAAAAAGCGCAGAAAGAUGCGACGGCCUCCCUACUACACCAACUAUUCACGUUCGCGGCUAGUCAUUCACAAUGUGGUGACGUCCAAGUACUUUGACUUGGCCAUCGCCGCUGUUAUUGGUCUUAACGUCGUCACAAUGGCCAUGGAAUUUUACCUUAUGCCACCUGAACUGGAAUCGGCGCUGCGCAUUUUCAAUUAUUUCUUCACGGCCGUCUUCAUCAUCGAAUCCGUCUGCAAAGUCGUGGCCUUGGGAGUGCGACGGUACAUCAAGGAUCGCUGGAAUCAGCUAGACGUCGCCAUCGUCAUCCUGUCUAUCGUUGGCAUCGUUUUAGAGGAGAUGAAAUCCGAUUUAAUUCCAAUUAAUCCCACAAUCAUCCGCGUUAUGCGCGUUUUGCGGAUAGCCAGAGUGUUGAAGUUGCUGAAAAUGGCCAAAGGAAUCCGCUCUUUGCUGGACACAGUGAUGCAAGCACUUCCGCAAGUCGGCAACUUGGGACUCUUGUUCUACUUGCUAUUCUUCAUUUUUGCUGCCCUUGGAGUCGAAUUGUUUGGUCGUUUGGAAUGUGAUGACGACCAUCCGUGCCAAGGUCUUGGCGAACACGCCCACUUUGCAAACUUUGGCAUCGCUUUCUUGACAUUGUUCCGCGUGGCGACGGGCGACAACUGGAACGGCAUCAUGAAGGACACACUGCGUGAAAACUGCGACCCGUCGGCCGAUUGUAUCAGGAACUGCUGCGUAUCCCGCAUUAUCGCGCCCAUCUUUUUCGUCAUUUUUGUCCUGAUGGCUCAGUUUGUCCUGGUCAACGUCGUCGUCGCUGUUCUCAUGAAACACCUAGAAGAAUCGCACAAACAGAUGGAAGACGAUAUGGAAAUGGAGAUGGAAUUGGCCGAAGAAUUUGCACCUCUGCCGACCGCUAACGACGAGACUGUUAAAGUAAACGACGAGCUUGAAGAGCUGGAACUGACUAACACCGCUGCAUCCUGAGUCUUUACCUUUAUCUCAUCGAACAAGUAGAAAACGUUUUUUUUUUCUUUCUUUCGUCCUAGAGAGGUUAAAUUUUAAGAAAUCAGUCCAUUUGUUUUUUUCUUGUGAAACCAGAUGGGUAAAAUAGUUUCGUCUCGUCGACGGAUGUUUAUAGAAAUUGUGCGUCGUAUUGAGAAAAAAAAACUUGUUCUGUAUUACCUGUUUCGAAAUGCAUCAGGUAUCGCACAGGAAUAGUUUUCACGUCCGUAUCUCCAUCUCGUCCUUCUUCGUUUCCCUCCUUUUUAGUUUCAAUCAAUUUUUUUCCAAAAGAUGAUUAUAAUCAUCGUUUUUUUUUCUUUCUAAAUAUGGACAAGCACUUGAGCGCCUUCUCUCAUUCCUCCUUGUGUAAUCAACAUGUUAUCCUGCACCCUGCAGCUCCUUCCAUCCAAGACCAGCAACUUCGCUCUUUGAUUUCUUCCCUUUGCAAUUUUUUUUUUCUCUUUUUUGACUCUCUCCCUUUACUUUUGUCAAAUUGAGAAACGAAAGAGUCUCACACACAUGAUCACCUGACCGUCUCACCAUAAUAUUGUGACUGUUUGCGUAGAGAGCAUUGUAUUUUCGACUUGUCGUCAACGGCGAAAUGAAAACCUCUUUGUUUUUUCAUUCGUUUUUCUCUCUAGUGUAAAGUGACCCUAACUAAACAUCGGAAACAUUUUUUUGUUAAAUAUAUAUAACUGUUUUCAUGAUAGUUUACUAUAUCGUUUAAAAAUGAAUCUUUCGGGAGGAUUGUAUUCGAGUUUAUAGCAAUACCUUAUGAUUAUUACUCACCUUACAUUUGAAGUGAACAGACGAAAAUGAUACACCCCCUACACCAGUGAGUACCGUAUACCCUCAAGCCCUCCCGAAUUCUGUACCAUUGUAUUCUCCUCUUACGUGAAUGCCCCUGUAAAAUGACGCUGUGUUACAACCGCAAAAUUUGUUUCCGUUUAAAUUUUUGUUUACUAUUUAGUUUUAAAGAAUUUUUACGUGGAAGAAAAAAAAUUGAUUCGAAAAAAAAGUUAAUUCAAAUGCGGAAUCUUGUGCGGUACCGUGUUUUAUUUUUAACGGUGAUCUUCUUGCCAAACCAUUCGUCCUGAUAAUCGACUUUACGUGGGUUUCGCUUUAUUUUACCAUAUUUAGUGUAAUCACGUUUCUGGCGUUUAAAUCGUUUGGCAUUUAUUUCGUCUCUGUUGUGGUACUUUUUUAUCGCAACAGGAAUGUGAAAAUGCCCUUUUCAGUGUUGACUGAAGAAAAAAAAAACCGGCCGUGACAUGAGUAAUUAAUGGCACAGCUUACGUGUAACUUCCUCUACUCCCACUCGCAGUUGACAGGGUAUCCGUGCGAUACCUCAAAACUCGUGUAGGCUACUCCAAACUACAGUGUAGGUAUUGAUGCAAUGUCUCCGUGAGCUUUUGACACGUCCUCACGAAAUUGAACAACUUUAUCUCGUUUGCUUAAUAUCAUUCUUAUCUGACCCGUUGGGCGUUUCUAUAAAGUUUCUAGCUAGACUCACGAAUGUGGCAGUCGAUCGUCUCAGUUUUCCAGUUAAGAAUGGCCGGUACGAACAAAUUGUUCAAGGUGUUUGCAAUCAUUUUAUUGCUGGGCGCCGUACUCCUAAUUGUCGACGCUUCAAAUAAGAAACAUUUGAAGAAAAAAACAGCUUCAAAGAAGACCUUCAAACAGCUUCUAUUUUCCGACGAUGACGAUCUGAUGCUCGGAGAUGAACCGGAGUCUAGCGGUGAUGGUUCUAAUGUCCCAGAUAAUGAAGGAAGUGCGAGUCCAACAAUCAAGUCCUUGCCACAAGCUAACCAGGUCGAUCCUGAUUUCUCCAUCGACGGAUUACCGGACAUCAACGAUCUUCUAACCGAAGAAGGAAAUAAUUUUAAAUGGCCAACGUUUAAACCUCCAGUGCAGCCAACGGCUAGACCCCCUGCCAUUCAACUAACUCUUGUCCACCGGUGAAACUCCCCUGUCAAUCGGGUCAACCUUGCCCACCGGCCCAACCGCCCUGUUAUGGUAAACCCUGUCCACCAGUACAACCUCCGUGCAAUACAGGUAAACCUUGUCCACCGAUCCAACCUCCUGUGCGACCUCCAUGCCAGUCAGGUAAACCUUGUCCACCGAUCCAACCUCCUUGUCAUUCAGGUAAACCUUGUCCACCGGUCCAACCACCGGCCCAACCUCCUUGCCAUUCAGGUAAACCUUGUCCACAGGUCAAGCCUCCGUGCCAGCCUAAUCGCCCAUGUCACUCUAAACUUCCGUGCCACUCAUCUAACGGUCUCUGCAACCCACUCAGCCUGCCGCCUGCAUACAGCCCAACCAGCGUGUGUGGAAAAACCUACUUUUGUCGAAAAGGUUUCAGCGGCCCUUGUAAUAGAAAUGAAGUUUUUACUUCUUCGCCGAGCCAUUUAUCACGGCCCGUCUCUUUUGCACGCUCGAAGUGCUCCAACUAUUUUUCUCCGCCGCCAGGUUGCUUUUCAUCAACGAAUAAUCCGUUCACUUUAACAGGCAAGAGCUCACCUGGGUAUUGUACGAUUCGCUAUGCCCAGCAGCCUUGCUACGGCUACCCUUCGACGUACCGCUAUUGCAAACAAACGAAACACUGCUAUCCUACCAUGUCCACGUCACUGUACAACCCAAGACCAUCACACGGGCCGUGUCUGGCUGACCAGUAUUUUACUGCCACAGAUCAAAGCUACGGUUAUUGUCGUUGCAGUCGUCCCAACUAUGUUCAUUGUCCAAAGACCAAUCGCUGUUAUCCAGCAUACACUAAGGGCUCUUGUUCCACCGGCCAGUGGCUUGUUCCACACGGAAAUCAUGGCUUAGCUACCUGUAAAGCUUGCCCUUGCCCUUCGCUGGCGGACGGUCAGCACAUUUACUGGAGCGGGACGGGCCAGCAACAUGGAAGACCGGGUUGCUACAAGUCACAAACCCGUGGUCCUUGCCGACACGGCAUGCGAUUUGUGAUCAGCGAUAUUCUCACGGGUUCUGCGCAUUGUGUCCGCAAUCACUCGGACAAGAGACGGCCGAGUUCGAGUUACAACUCGUUGUUGAGCGACUGGAACUUGUUUUACGGGAAAUUCUAAGUUUUAACCGGCCAGUGCAAUAAGUUUUAGAAAUUUGCCGAACCAAUCGUUUGUAAGAAAACGUAUGUAUGUAGUCAGGAUAAAAAUGCAAGAUUUUGAUUUUAAAACUCGCAAAAAUCCAAUUCAGUACUGCCAAGAAAUAUAAUAGCCUUUCUUUUUGCCCCUA
Molecule: unclassified non-coding RNA, 12716 nt
Filed under: Daphnia magna
Lineage: Eukaryota; Metazoa; Arthropoda; Branchiopoda; Diplostraca; Daphniidae
Description: voltage-dependent T-type calcium channel subunit alpha-1G, transcript variant X8
Source: RNAcentral